ACUUGGCGCGCGGCGCGGGAUGCAGACGGCUGCGAGGCGCUGGGCACAGCACCCAGAAGAAUCCUGUAUUUAAUUGGCUCAUAUGGAAAAUUUUAGAAAGAGAGAGACAUCGGGGCUCAGACUAUCUUCUGAUCAGGAACCAAAAUGAGCUGGGAGUUGCUGUCCCCUUUGACGAUGAUGACAAGAUCGUUGGGGGCUACACCUGUGAGAAUUCUCUCCCCUACCAGGUGUCCCUGAAUUCUGGCUCCCACUUCUGCGGUGGCUCCCUCAUCAGCGAACAGUGGGUGGUAUCAGCAGCUCACUGCUACAAGACCCGCAUCCAGGUGAGACUGGGAGAGCACAACAUCAAAGUCCUGGAGGGGAAUGAGCAGUUCAUCAAUGCGGCCAAGAUCAUCCGCCACCCCAAAUA
Molecule: small RNA, 409 nt
Filed under: Pan troglodytes (chimpanzee)
Lineage: Eukaryota; Metazoa; Chordata; Mammalia; Primates; Hominidae
Description: processed transcript
Source: RNAcentral